This 307-nucleotide ribosomal RNA is filed under the name uncultured Cylindrospermopsis sp. RNAcentral describes it as "bacterial SSU rRNA". It matches the Rfam family "Bacterial small subunit ribosomal RNA", at positions 366 to 687 of the family's 1533-position model. The record is from RNAcentral. Lineage: Bacteria; Bacillati; Cyanobacteriota; Cyanophyceae; Nostocales; Aphanizomenonaceae.
CCGCAAUGGGCGAAAGCCUGACGGAGCAAUACCGCGUGAGGGAGGAAGGCUCUUGGGUCGUAAACCUCUUUUCUCAAGGAAGAAGAAAGUGACGGUACUUGAGGAAUAAGCAUCGGCUAACUCCGUGCCAGCAGCCGCGGUAAUACGGAGGAUGCAAGCGUUAUCCGGAAUGAUUGGGCGUAAAGGGUCUGCAGGUGGAACUGAAAGUCUGCUGUUAAAGAGUUUGGCUUAACCAAAUAAAAGCGGUGGAAACUACAGAACUAGAGUGCGGUAGGGGCAAAAGGAAUUCCUGGUGUAGCGGUGAAAU